RNAcentral lists this ribosomal RNA (245 nucleotides) under uncultured bacterium. Its description in RNAcentral is "partial 16S ribosomal RNA". It matches the Rfam family "Bacterial small subunit ribosomal RNA", at positions 524 to 768 of the family's 1533-position model. The record is from RNAcentral.
GACAGAGGGUGCGAACGUUGUUCGGAAUUACUGGGCGUAAAGCGCGUGUAGGCGGCUAUGCAAGUCGGGUGUGAAAGCCCUUGGCUCAACUGAGGAAGUGCACUCGAAACUGCAUAGCUCGAGUCCCGGAGAGGAUGGUGGAAUUCUCGGUGUAGAGGUGAAAUUCGUAGAUAUCGAGAGGAACACCGGUGGCGAAGGCGGCCAUCUGGACGGUGACUGACGCUGAGACGCGAAAGCAUGGGGAG